Molecule: small RNA, 119 nt
Filed under: Salmonella enterica subsp. enterica
Lineage: Bacteria; Pseudomonadati; Pseudomonadota; Gammaproteobacteria; Enterobacterales; Enterobacteriaceae
Description: RtT sRNA
Rfam family: RtT RNA
About the family: This family represents a bacterial cis-regulatory element known as RtT RNA. The exact function of RtT is unknown although it is thought that it may be involved in changing the cellular response in relation to amino acid starvation.
Source: RNAcentral
UGUAUCGGAAGCCUGAAGAGGAUGAGAACCUCCGGGGGCAAGAGGUUCGACUCGAGCGAAGCGAGAGAACGUUGCGUCAGCAACGGCCCGCAGGGCGAGCCAUCCUCUAUCACCGGCAG